UGCGGCCUACGGGAGGCAGCAGUGAGGAAUAUUGGUCAAUGGACGAGAGUCUGAACCAGCCAAGUAGCGUGAAGGAUGACUGCCCUAUGGGUUGUAAACUUCUUUUAUAAAGGAAUAAAACGAGGCACGUGUGCCUUUUUGCAUGUACUUUAUGAAUAAGCAUCGGCUAACUCCGUGCCAGCAGCCGCGGUAAUACGGAGGAUGCGAGCGUUAUCCGGAUUUAUUGGGUUUAAAGGGUGCGUAGGCGGUUUUUUAAGUUAGUGGUUAAACGUCGGGGCUUCACCUUGAUUUGCCAUUAAUACUGU
Molecule: ribosomal RNA, 305 nt
Filed under: uncultured bacterium
Lineage: Bacteria
Description: bacterial SSU rRNA
Rfam family: Bacterial small subunit ribosomal RNA
Source: RNAcentral